CACAGCUGUACGCCAUUCGUCCGGUGUGAAAGACGGCUAACGGGACAAAGGGCACGAGUGAGGAGAGGGAAACGAGGGAGAGAUGCUCGCUGAAUCGCCCAGCCCACCCCUGUGCAGGACGGGGAGCACCUCUCUUCCUCUCUGCUCAUAGCCGCUUUCUCCCGGCCCUCAGCCAUUUUGGAGAGAGCAAAAAGUGGCUGCUUUCUCUCUCCCUCUCUCACUACGUGGCAUAGCUUUAGAAAGGUUUCGGCUGCUGUGUUUGUAGCAGCAGAGAAGACACACUUUGCAGCUUGCACUUUGGGAGAUAUUAUGUUUGCAGAGAAAAAAUUCUGACGCGAAAACAAAACCCUUCCAUCUCGACUUUUUAUUUUUUAAUGAAUUUUUCCUUUUUUUUUCGUUUCCCUUGAAUUCAGCUGCUAAGCCUCUCUCCUCCUUGCUGUGCACUUUUCACUCAUGCUGUUUCCUUUUCUUUAAUAACUUGCGCUGUAGUUUUGGUGGCCGGUCCAAUCCCUCUUUUCUUUUUUAAAGUCAUGUUUUCUCAUCUCUCAAUUUGAGUUUUUUUUUUUAUGUAACAGAGUUCAAGACAAAGGGAUAUGUCCAUAUUUUGGCAGCGCUAAGAAGAGACAGAGCAGCAGCCAAGGAUCCUGCUGGGAUCCAAAAAAGCCAAGCAGAAUGAAGCACCAAAAAAAAAAAAAAAGAAAACACCACCCUUUCCUUUGCUUGGUCAGAAAUUCCACUUUCUCUGUAGCCAGCCCUGCGCUGCCACUCCUCCUCAUCCACAUCUUACCGCAUUCAACCUUUUGCCAUUUCUCUCUUGCCGUACCUUUUUUUUUAAAGCCGAUUUGAGGUUUUUGUACCCCGGAAAAUGGGGACUGGACAACGGGUUAUGAGUGCGUAACUAGGAGAGAACAAGGGGAUGUUUUCUUCUUACUUUCGGUUGUGAUUUAGCGUUUUUUUUUUUCUGCUAUUAGUGUUAUUAUUGUUGUGCUUCUUAUAGUUUUUAGUCGUUUGUGUUUUUAAGGGUGUGCUUGGAUCACCACGUGUUUGUGUGGUUUUGGGAAUGUGUGUGAACGGGUGUAUACUCCCUGUGAAUGUUAGACUUGCUGCUCUGUUCCCAAUCAGUUUCUGAUGAUUUACAUUCUGCUUUUUUUGUUGUUGUUUUGUUUUGGGGUUUUUUUACAUUUUUAUUUUAGGUUUCUUGAUUUCUCCUAAAGCGUUGGCCUACACUUCUCUUCGAGCCUGACUUCAUCUGAGUGUAGAGGACGUUUGACCACCAGGUCCAGCUUAUGCCUUACUGUCUUGCAUGUCUGAGCAGCAGACGGCUAGACGGCACCAAUCUGCUAGAGCAGGCUCAUGUGCUAGCCCGAAUUAUCCAUUCAACAAAGCCUGAGCUAGCAGCACUAAAAUCUUCCCCUAUUCUUCUCUCCAGCAUUCAUUUUUUUCUCCCCUCUCUCUCUCCGAUUUGUGCCCUGCUACAUCCUCUCUCCCUUUGCUAGGCUGACCGGCACAGGCGUACAGAGAAGACUGCGGCAGCCUCCGCCACCUCGGUCAGCUGGAGCUUGCUACACUCGCUGCUGCACACCGCCGCCAUCUUGUUACUGCCUGUGCUACUGGUCUGCCUGCCUUUGCUGCACUCAAACCAAAUCAUCAAACUCAGCCUGCGGUUGUUUCCAUGCCACUCCUGUUUGUGCGCAGCUUUGUCACAACGCAGUGCUGCGCACCAGCUACCGGACGUUGCUGCACAGAAGCACCUGGAACUUUUAUCUGGGUGUUUCUUUAAUAGCUGCCACAGAUUGGAUGCUGCAGACGGUGUUGUCAGCAUCUCUCAAACCAUCAGUAAGAUCUGUACCAUUGUAACACACACUAUGCCCGAUGUAGAUUUAGCUAAGGACUUGACAUGCCGUACACCAUUAAAACAAGUAAAAAUAAGUGAAAUGUUAUUUUACAAAUUUACAAAUGAUUCAAAGUGGCAUGUCUUCUUCGCAGGAUUUAAGAAAAUUGCUCCCGUCGAAGAAAAUCAAUAACCACAAUCUGUCCCUUAUUCUGUGUAUAUAUUUCUCUCCAGAGCCCAUAUGCCUGAGCACAUAUACUGUAUAUGCUAUCUUUGUGAGCUUGUGUGCUGUAAAGAGAGGGUGGGAAAGAGAAAGGAGGGGAGUGAGAGAGAAAGAGAGGAAUCAAGCGUCGGUAAGAAAGUCUUCCUAAUUCUGUUUGGCAGAAACUGUGCUGUUUAACCAUAUGUGCAGAGAGCAGGCUUUGCACAUGCUCAGAAUGACUCAGAGGACACGACUUUCACAUGUCUCAACGCAAUUAGAUUAACUAAUAGAUAAUUUUCCAGCAAAUAUAAAUAAGUUACAGUGAAGUCAUAAAUAAUUUAAAAAGUGUGCACUCUACCUUGAAUUAUUUUUGUUGUACUCACAGUAUGAGGUUAAAACAUGGGCAUUAGAAGGAGAGCGGGAUACAAACACAGCAAGUAUAUUCCAGCUUAUGGAAAUCUUAUUCCUGCAUUUAACUGUGCUUUGGUGCAAAACAAGUGGAAGUGUGUAGGUGGAGGCCACAGUGAUACAGCAGUGAGUUCAGAAGGUCUUCAAUCCUCUAAGACUAUAUGCCAAGAAGACACCAUGCUAAUGAAAUCAUAAAGACGGUGAAGAAAACAAGCUGUCCCUGGAGAAUACAUCCAUGCAUCGGAGGUUGCCAGUUUUACUUUACUUGCUUCUGGGUAUGCAUGUACUGUAGCUUUGCAGUGAUACUGUAUUUAUAAGGUCAAAGGCUGCUUUGCUUCAGGGUUAAAAUGCUCUCAGCCUUUAUCUUAUGAUUACCUUCAUCAGGUCAGUGAAGAUCACCCUUUGCCCCACCAGCUGAGUGGGACAGCGGGUUACAAGAGGUAUGCAAAUCACAGUAAUAUUUAUUAUGUAUAACAAGGAAGAAAAUGUAAAAAAGAAGAAGAGUUUAAAUCACUGCUGAUAUUCCUAUGAAAUACAGGGUACAAUUAGAAUGAGAUAGAAAUGAUCAAGAUGCAAUUAACGUUCAUACUUUAAAUAUUGGACAGAAAUAUGACGUUGAAUAAUUUUGGCCACUUUUAUACACAGUCCGCCAUCUUUAGGUGCUUAAAUGCAGUCGAACGAACGCUCGUUAUAAGUUGGGGGCGGUUACAGUUACAGAACCAGCAGUUCUGGCCUAUUCAGAGAGCUCAGGUGGUGGAGCAGGUGGUGGAGCAGGUUUGGGCAGGACACUGAACCCCUAGUUGCUCUCGAUGGCAGAUGAGCUGUCUGAACACGUGUGGCCUAUAAAUGCCGAUCGUCUAAAAUUUGUACUUUUAAUACUUUGUCAGGAAUCAUUUGCGGGCAGUCUGAUUUCUGAAACCUUCGGAUAUUAAUGCUUCUGCGUUUCUGCAGUUGUUUGUUUACGCGUCUUGUUAUCAGGGAGUGAAAUUCAUACUCAGUCAGACUGAGAUUGGCCGAGAAAGUUAAAUUGUCUGCAUCAUGGUUGACUAUAAUCAAUGCUGACAUUGCUUGUUGUCCUCAUUGUGUAAGGACGGAAUCAUUAGAAACACCAAGUAACAGCGUAUUACGUAGAGAGCAAAGAAUUCGUAGUUUAUCGAGCUACCAGGUCUCACGCAGAGUUAACUUUGAAUUGAUGAUUAAAAGCAAACAAUAGUCAACUGAUAGUUUUCAUGAAUGUUAUUAAUCUAGUUUAAAAUUUCAAAUUCAGUUGGAGUUUCAGAGACUUCAGAGCAGAUCGCUGAAACAAUACCGAAGCAAUAUUGCUGCAUUUUAAAUCCGUCCGUCCAAGUCAUCUUUAGGCAAAAUGCAGGAUAUACUGUGGACUCAUUACCAGUCUAUCACGUGGCUAAUACAGAACACUUGCAGUCCAUCAGCUAAGAAUGGCUGCAUGAUUAAAUCCCAUUUAGAGGAAUUAUUCACUGUCAAAAAGUCCAAUUUAUGCAGAAAGCACAUAAGAGCAAAUAUGAAUUUCUUACUGGAAGGUAAGCUCCAUACUGGAACAUCACAAUACAAGUUCAGAGAGCCUGUCCAAUGAAAUAAUUCAUUAUAAUCCAAAGUGAGCCUUCAUCAGCCUGGGAGUUGUCCUGCUAUGUUUUUAUGAUCCAGUUAACAGAAAUAAAGCCCUCAACUCUCCGGCUUGAGUAAUGACGUAAGCAGUUAACGAUUGGAAGAAUUUCUUUUUGGACAAGAGCGGAGGACGUUGAUCAUUCAGGGUCAACAAUGAGCGCCUCAUUUGUUCUUUUUUUCCCCAUUUGUAGUAUAAAUAGAAGCAGUUCAGCCUUCAGUGGAGAGUUUGUGGAGCAUACUUACUGAGUGUCGAAUGCAAAGAUGUUGCAUUCUUUAUUAUUCCAUAUCAACUGUCCUGGAAUCCGUUACACCAUUUCCCAGAAUUGCAGUCCAAAAAGUAUGUAAAUCCCAGCUGGGAAUGGGUGUAGAAUCCCAAGGUUUGUGCACGUGACAUGAACUAUUCAUUCUUCUUCUUUUUCUGUCAAAGCAUGACUUCUUAAAAAGAGUUACAGGUGUAUCUGGGCCCACCUUCUUGUUACAUAUAUAUAAUGCACAGCUGUCAAAAGUAAAUAAAGUAGAAAUCACAAACGUCCUUUGUUAGGUGUUCACAUUUAAUUGCUCCUUCAGAAAUAAAUGCAAAAUCUUUGGAAAACAGGAUAAUCUGCUAACAAGUGCCAUUUCCUUACCCAGAGGACCCAUACUUGAGACUUUGUUUCUCCCAGAAUACAAUGUUUCCUCAUUUUCAGUGAGGAACCAACCAAAAACCAAAAGGUUUUGACAUUCAUUGUUCUCCCAGAAGAUGCAUCUGCAGGCAAUCCCUAACUUUCUCCUCUAGUGCUACCAGCACAAUGAUGUACAGGUGUAUGUGGUUUUAAAAUUCAUAAGUCACCAAAUACUGGAUGGAUUUCCAUUAAAGUUUGUGCCGAUAUUCAUAUCCUUCAGUGUACCUGUCUGCAUUUUUUUAAAAAGUGUCCUGUGUUCCAGUAUUUUGGCUUGCGAUUAAACAACUGCAAAGCUAGUGAUUUGCUGCAUUACUUACAUAUUGCAGUCAUGAAUAAGAGAAGAGACUAGUCUUUCCUGGUAGACUGCAGUGAAUUAUCUUCACAGCAGCAGAGUAGACAUAGAUUGCAUGACAUGGUGCAGUUUGCACAUGGAAUGCAGAAAGAUUUCAGGCACUGAGUGAUGAAGGCCAGAUGUUUGAGUUAUGCAUAGGAAGUCAGUGGCCUACAGUUGGUACUGUAUGAAGCGAUGAUGCCAGAAACCAUCGCCGGCAUAUACCAUGUAAUUAAAUUUAAGGAAGCCCACUCACAUAUUACAGCUUGUAUAUAAAAGCAAUACAUGUUCCAGGUUUGAAAAAAACAGACAUCAAAAAACAUUACAUAAACACAAGUGCCUAAAUAAAAAUAGAAACGGUAUAUGAGUAAGAGGUGUUGCUUAUGAUUCACCUGGUUACAGUUUGCAUAGCAACUAAUUCUAGUUUUUUUAUAUAUAUAUAUAUAUAUAAAGUUUUGCUCAAAAAUAAAAAAUAAAGAAAAGCUUAAGAGUCUGAGAGGUUGUUGUGAAUGUUGUGGAUUUAAUGAUUGGUCAAAAAUAAAUAAAACAUAAAUAUAAGCGAGGUCAUUAUAUCGAUAUCUUCAAUUUUGUCCUUCAUUUGUAGAUGUUACGGAAAUUAAUCUUUUUAAACUUGGAGAAAAGAAACAAGUUCAAAAGAGGACUUGUUUACCAGAAAAUAUUCCUUGCACAUUGAUUUGCAGCACGCAGUGUGGUUACAUUAUUAAACUAUAGACACCCAGCAAUGGUAAAUAUAUACUGAAACUUACCUCCUCCUCCUAUAGACGGUUUUCUCUUGUUCUUUCUCCCUCCUUUUUGUCUCGUCUUGCACACAGUUACACAUGCACACUCCCAGCCUGUCUGCGUCUCACACUCAAACACGCACACACACACACACGCACACACACGCACCGUCUUUUGUUUGGAGUCAGACGGCAUUGAAGGCAGAUCCUGUGGCCCUUCUGAGGAGAAUGUUAAUAUGCCCGCUCUGGUCUCUCUGGGGACGCAGAGAAUGGACUCGGGCUGCUAAUGCACUGUCACACUAACCCCGCUAAGUAUUCUCACAGUUAGCAACAGCAGCGCUGCUCCCAGAACUGAAAUGUAUUUAACUAAACUCGCAACCUACUGAAUCGUAAAGACUUACUUUAGAUUGUCCUUUCACAAAUAACUGCCUCAUUUGCCCACCUUUCUGUGCCUGCAAACAGAGAUAUGGCAGGUGGGCUAUUUGUUGAGUGCAGUUAGACUUAUUUCACUUUCAUUAGCACUUUAUUUAUGUGGACUCAUUAGGGGCAGUUUGCUCCCCCACACUGAGGUAGGCUUAAUGGAUUAUACUAACGACCUACACAAGCACACGGUAUUCAGUUACAUGUAGAGUUUAAACAAGUCAAAUUAUCUUUAAAGAGUUUGGGCUCGGUAUCGUUUUUGCUAACUUUGGCUAAAGGAUGUAUUUUUGCUUGUGGUUCAGUGAAAUCCUGCUAUUCGAACUGUGGUCACCUGAGUGGAAGGAAAAUGUUCCCCACUUACCAAACUGGUGUGAGGAGUAACUAUGUUUUCAUUUAUGUCAUGAAUAAAAUAAAACUAUUUUUGCUAUUUAAGAGCAUUAAAAAUGAAAAAUAAAUUAAUAACAUUUACUUCAUGUUGUAUAUUGGCUGUGGUCAUUGUGUCCAUGUGCUGAGCCUGUGGAUCACAGUUGCAUGCAGUAAUAGUCAAAGGAUAUUUAAGGUAUUACUAUAUAAACUAUGUAUUAUCAUGGAUUAAAUAUAUUAUAUAAG
Long non-coding RNA from Astatotilapia calliptera (eastern happy), 6829 nucleotides. The record is from Ensembl. NCBI's taxonomy places the organism in Eukaryota, Metazoa, Chordata, Actinopteri, Cichliformes, Cichlidae.